Long non-coding RNA from Phyllostomus discolor (pale spear-nosed bat), 1725 nucleotides. RefSeq lists it as uncharacterized. The record is from RefSeq and is a predicted model, not a curated record. NCBI's taxonomy places the organism in Eukaryota, Metazoa, Chordata, Mammalia, Chiroptera, Phyllostomidae. The transcript has 3 exons.
GUUGAGGGAAAGGAAGACUUUUUGAAAGGAUUGAUGUCAAGAGGCACAGAGUAAUUAUACAUCUAUUAAUUAUUUUAUCCCAGAACUUUUAUUUAUUCUGGUGCUUUUACAGUUGCUUUUGUAUUCUACUUUCAAAAAUCCUCUUUUGUAUUAUGCGGCCCCUUUUUGCUAGUCUCCAGAAUAUUUAACUCAAACUUUUCUUAGUUGAAAGAGCUUCAGAAAGCAUCAAGAUAGGUCAGGGAAGCAUGCAUGAGUUUUUCUGCAGUAGUUAUUCUUUUGACCCGUUGAUCUAGCCAUUGUGCACACCCUUAGGUUUACAGUGUUCUUGGAGACAAGAUUUGGGAAUCCUGCCUAUUAAUUCCCAUGUUGGUGCCUCUGAUACAGUCUUGAACGAUUUAGUCUAAAUUCGACUUAAAACUAUGUGAUAUUCCUAGCUGUUCAUUUCCUUCCCCUCCUUCAAAUGACUCACAUUUCUACCAAUUAACAAAUAAAGUUUUCAUUUUCUUUUUGUAUGACUAAUAAUUAAUUAUAGUUGCCAUUGAGAAGAAUGUCAUUCACUUUUUAAUUAAUUGAGACUAUAGAUUAACUUAGAAUUAACUAUAUAUUAUACACUCUGCUAAGGUGUUCAGGAUAUAGCCCAAGUUCUGAUAGUUGCCCCUAGUGCUUACUGCUAUUUAAUGUACUGUGUAGUUUACUUAUUUAUGCUGUUUAUUGUCUCUCUUCAUAGAAUGAAAACUCCAUGAGUGCAGGAAUCUUUGUCUGUUUUAUUCUCAAGUAUGUCACCAACCCCUAGAACUAUGCCUGUGAAUAAAUUUUCAGUCAUUGUUUGUUGAAAGAAUGAAAGACUGAGCCCCCAGGUGGAGCAUGAUAUUUAUGUCAUUAGUCAGUGUGUCAUGAGUUUAUUUUAGCCAUUUGCCCUCCUUUAACCUUUGCCAUCCUUUCCCUACCUACUCCCCUCCUGAUUUAAAGCAUUAUGCUUUCAAACCACUUAACGCUGAAAUGAGCUGGUUUUAUGAAUAUGGAUUAACCUCUUUUUUUCCCAAGGAGAUUUUCAUUCUCAGGCAGACAUGGACUAAGUACAUUUAUGCUUUUCUUUCUUGUGUCGACUACCUUUACCUGUGAUGAGUGCUCUGAGAACACAAUUAGACCCACGUGUGUGAGCCAGGGGUGAGAUCUUGGCAUUUCAGAGAGAAGAGAACAAUGUUCCGACUAAACUGUAACGAGAGCUGAACCAAAACAGUCACUGGGUUCCUAGUGUAAAAUCACAUUCUCAUCUUUUAAAGCCAACAUCUCCAUUCCCUCAGAUUGGUCAUGUUCUGGCUCUUGGUGCAGCUGCUUUCAUGCUGUGAAAAUGGACUGCUCUGCUGUCUCAGGCUCCAUAGGGGUAUGAGCAUUUGAUUUCUCCACAAAUAGAGCGGAGAAAUAGAACCAUAGAAUAACACUGUGGACACAUUUAACAAUAUUUAUUCAGUGAGUAAAAGAGCUAGACCUUUGUUACAUUGUCUGCUCUCCCAGUCAAUAAAUGUUUUUGCAACCAUUGGGCAAUGUUUGAAAUCAGCCUAUCCUAAUUAAUGGGAUAUUAAUUACUUUAAUGAUAAUGUUCAAUAGAUUAUAAACAGUUUUUUUCAUGUACUAUAAAAGGUAAUAAAUGACAGGGAGUAGGAUGGAGGGUGGGAAGUGGGGAUGGCUGGGAUGGGGGGAGUAGUGGGGGGAGUAGGGAGACAA